RNAcentral lists this long non-coding RNA (117 nucleotides) under Jaculus jaculus (lesser Egyptian jerboa). The record is from RNAcentral. Lineage: Eukaryota; Metazoa; Chordata; Mammalia; Rodentia; Dipodidae.
ACUGAAGCCAAAUCUAUUGCAAAAACUUAGAACAUAAUUUUUCUCCUUUUUGAUAAUAUUCAAUGAGAAACAACACUCAGAAUUUUUUUUCCAUGAGAAAGGUACUGCAAUAUCCUC